UACGGGGGGAGCAAGCGUUGUUCGGAUUUAUUGGGCGUAAAGGGCGCGUAGGCGGCCUGGCAAGUGGAUGGUGAAAUCCCUCGGCUUAACCGAGGAACUGCCAUCCAGACUGCUUGGCUUGAGACCGGGAGAGGUGAGUGGAAUUCCUGGUGUAGCGGUGAAAUGCGCAGAUAUCAGGAAGAACACCCGUGGCGAAGGCGGCUCUCUGGAACGCAACUGACGCUGAGACGCGAAAGCGUGGGGAGCAAACAGG
This 253-nucleotide ribosomal RNA is filed under the name uncultured bacterium. Its description in RNAcentral is "partial 16S ribosomal RNA". It matches the Rfam family "Bacterial small subunit ribosomal RNA", at positions 524 to 776 of the family's 1533-position model. The record is from RNAcentral.